Molecule: long non-coding RNA, 473 nt
Filed under: Equus caballus (horse)
Lineage: Eukaryota; Metazoa; Chordata; Mammalia; Perissodactyla; Equidae
Description: lncRNA (ENSECAG00000043197.2)
Source: RNAcentral
CAUCAUUCUUUAACACCUUAUUUAAAGUCUAACUGUUUUCUCCUUAGUCACAGCUUGUUGUCUUCUUCGUCCUCCUGCUGCUGUUUCAUGAGAUAUAAACGCAGCCGUGGAGCCCUCCUCUUCAAGGAGGCAGGAGAGGCGAGAGCUAUCUUCACAGGCCCAGCCCCCAUUAUCUAAGAGGAAAUCCCUUCCUGGUGUUCCCUCAGGAGACCACCAGUUACAGCUCAGGACAGAACGAGGUCACGUGCCCACCUCCAGCUACAAGGACAGCUGUGAAAGCGAGGAUCUGUCCAGGAGAAUGAGAUGGGCUUGAACCAUCAAGACUAAUGAUCAUUAAUCUUCUUACACUAGGGACAUUGGAGUCAAAACAAAGUUAGGAUUUUGUUAGGAAGCAGAAUGGGAGAACAGCGAUCUGCUAAGUAAGCCAGUGUUUGCCGUUAUAACAACGUUAGGAAUAUGCUGUUGAAAAUGCA